UCGAAUGAAACAAAAGAAUGAAUAACUUAAUCAAAAAAAUAAUACAUUGGUUUUCGGUACACUUUUGACCCCCUGGUGGUAUAUCUCUGAUUUCACUGGUUUAAUUUUUCAAUUCCUUCUUAUUUUCCAA
This 130-nucleotide non-coding RNA is filed under the name uncultured Nitzschia. The record is from RNAcentral. Lineage: Eukaryota; Bacillariophyta; Bacillariophyceae; Bacillariales; Bacillariaceae.